RNAcentral lists this ribosomal RNA (757 nucleotides) under Rheinheimera sp. REICA_165. RNAcentral's name for it is "bacterial SSU rRNA". It matches the Rfam family "Bacterial small subunit ribosomal RNA", at positions 587 to 1344 of the family's 1533-position model. The record is from RNAcentral. Lineage: Bacteria; Pseudomonadati; Pseudomonadota; Gammaproteobacteria; Chromatiales; Chromatiaceae.
GUCAGAUGUGAAAGCCCCGGGCUCAACCUGGGAAUUGCAUUUGAAACUGGGGAACUAGAGUGUGUGAGAGGGGGGUAGAAUUCCAAGUGUAGCGGUGAAAUGCGUAGAGAUCUGGAGGAAUACCAGUGGCGAAGGCGGCCCCCUGGCACAACACUGACGCUCAGGUGCGAUAGCGUGCGGAGCAAACAGGAUUAGAUACCCUGGUAGUCCACGCCGUAAACGAUGUCUACUAGCUGUUCGUGACCUUGUGUUGUGAGUAGCGCAGCUAACGCACUAAGUAGACCGCCUGGGGAGUACGGUCGCAAGAUUAAAACUCAAAUGAAUUGACGGGGGCCCGCACAAGCGGUGGAGCAUGUGGUUUAAUUCGACGCAACGCGAAGAACCUUACCUACUCUUGACAUCUACAGAAGACUGCAGAGAUGCGGUUGUGCCUUCGGGAACUGUAAGACAGGUGCUGCAUGGCUGUCGUCAGCUCGUGUUGUGAAAUGUUGGGUUAAGUCCCGCAACGAGCGCAACCCCUAUCCUUAGUUGCCAGCGAUUCGGUCGGGAACUCUAGGGAGACUGCCGGUGAUAAACCGGAGGAAGGUGGGGACGACGUCAAGUCAUCAUGGCCCUUACGAGUAGGGCUACACACGUGCUACAAUGGUACGUACAGAGGGAGGCAAGCUGGCGACAGUGAGCGGAUCUCUUAAAGCGUAUCGUAGUCCGGAUCGCAGUCUGCAACUCGACUGCGUGAAGUCGGAAUCGCUAGUAAUCG